This 105-nucleotide non-coding RNA is filed under the name Desulfitobacterium metallireducens. RNAcentral describes it as "SAM-I sequence". It matches the Rfam family "SAM riboswitch aptamer (S box leader)". Rfam says of the family: The SAM riboswitch is found upstream of a number of genes which code for proteins involved in methionine or cysteine biosynthesis in Gram-positive bacteria. The SAM riboswitch acts at the level of transcription termination control. RNAcentral also lists the same sequence under 1 other name. The record is from RNAcentral. Lineage: Bacteria; Bacillati; Bacillota; Clostridia; Eubacteriales; Desulfitobacteriaceae.
UUCUUAUCAAGAGUGGUGGAGGGACUGGCCCGAUGAAACCCGGCAACCGGUAUUUUGUAAUACAGCGGUGCCAAUUCCUGCGAUGGAAACAUUGAUAGAUGAGAG